CCUACGGGAGGCAGCAGUGAGGAAUAUUGGUCAAUGGGCGCGAGCCUGAACCAGCCAAGUAGCGUGAAGGAUGACUGCCCUAUGGGUUGUAAACUUCUUUUAUAUGGGAAUAAAGUGCAGUAUGUAUACUGCUUUGCAUGUACCUUAUGAAUAAGGAUCGGCUAACUCCGUGCCAGCAGCCGCGGUAAUACGGAGGAUCCGAGCGUUAUCCGGAUUUAUUGGGCUUAAAGGGAGCGUAGGCGGGUUGUUAAGUCAGUGGUGAAAGUUUGCGGCUCAACCCCGGCCGGCCGUUGAAACUGGUGUGCUCGAGUUGGAGAGAAGUAUGCGGAAUUCGUGGUGUAGCGGUGAAAUGCAUAGAUAUCACGAAGAACCCCGAUUGCGAAGGCAGCAUACCGGCUCCACACUGACGCUGAGGCACGAAAGCGUGGGUAUCGAACAGGAUUAGAUACCCUUGUAGUC
RNAcentral lists this ribosomal RNA (459 nucleotides) under uncultured bacterium. RNAcentral's name for it is "partial 16S ribosomal RNA". It matches the Rfam family "Bacterial small subunit ribosomal RNA", at positions 338 to 795 of the family's 1533-position model. The record is from RNAcentral.